UACAAUGGUAUUUGCUUAAAGCCACUGA
RNAcentral lists this small RNA (28 nucleotides) under Bombyx mori (domestic silkworm). RNAcentral describes it as "ovarian small RNA-20152". The record is from RNAcentral. Lineage: Eukaryota; Metazoa; Arthropoda; Insecta; Lepidoptera; Bombycidae.